Long non-coding RNA from Prionailurus viverrinus (fishing cat), 2464 nucleotides. RefSeq lists it as uncharacterized. The record is from RefSeq and is a predicted model, not a curated record. The transcript is spliced from 3 exons. Lineage: Eukaryota; Metazoa; Chordata; Mammalia; Carnivora; Felidae.
GUGGGCCGGGGCUGGAGGCUAAAGAAGGCAAGUUUACUUUUGUUCAGUCUAGUUUGGACCAGGACUCGGUGCCGUACCGCCCUCCCUCCCUCUCUUCUCUGCUUUCCUAUGGUGCAAAAGUCUUCACGAGGGGGUGUGUAGGUUAUUUUUCAACAAAGCACAGAGGUAGGAGAGUCGUGGCACUCCAUACCUGACUCACAGGGAGCGGCCGGCCAGCAGGACUCGGUGCCCUGGGUCCUUCCACAUGCGCCGUUACAGCCUGGACAGCGUGGCCGUUGGGACACGGGACCCAGAGCCCACAUGGGCUGCUGUGCAGGAUUUCAGACUCGCCCACCUUCCGUUUUGUGGCGUCAAUCCUGUGCCCUGCACUUUCCUCUCCAGCGUGAUGGUGGUCACGUGGGGGAAGCCCUGUUUGUGCCUCUUAAAAUAUUCCGUGCGAGCGUGCUUCCCGUGGGCCAUCUUCCCUCUGGCCCUUUGAAUACGUGGGCUGCGCUGGGACUGCGACUCGUCUUCUGUUGUGUCAUCAGGCCCUCCGGGCUGGCUUUGUCAUCGUGGCUCCUGGGGCUUCCAUCCAUCCCAGCCCAUUACUUUAUCCGACGCCACACAGGUGUGCAGUAUGCUGACUGAACAACACGGUGACUCAGCACGUGCAUCCGUCACCCCGUGCUCAUCACGACAGGUGCAUCCGUCAUCCCCAUCACCUGUUCCCCCCUCCCCUGCCCACCUCCCCGCUGGCGAUGGUCGGUUUCUUGUCUGUAGUCAAGAGUCUAGGUUUGUGUUUGUCCCUUUUUUCUUUGUUUUGAGUCUUAAAUUCCACGUAUGAGUGAGAUCAUACGGUAUUUACCUUUCUGUGUCCAUUCAUUUUCUUUUAACACAUGUACUCACUUCCUAUCGCUUCUGAGUUUUUGUCACGAUCAGUAGUUUUGAGAACACAAAACACUGCCCGCACACAUCGGCUCUGUGGUUUGAGCUCCACGACUGUGCUGCCCGUUGCUGCCGCAGGGCCCCAGACACGCCACCUUCCUGGGGGGCUGUCUUCCCGGGAUUGCGGCUUCUCAGCCUUUCUCUGCGAGGUGUUGGAGGCAGCGCGUCGGAGGCCUGUCGGGAGCCCAGGGACCUAAUCUGGAGGAGCCUCGUCGCAGAUUCUGGCCCAUUCUCCUUCCUCGGGCGUGUAAGGUGCCGAUGUCACACACACACGUGCCGGGUGCCAUUUGGAGCUACCGUCCAGAAGAGGUGGGCACCAUCCGCCCCAGGAAGCGCUCACGUCUCUGACGACUUCUGUCCUUCAGCUGCGGGUCCGGACGCCUCGUCAGAGGCACGGGGAACACCCCAGUUUGACUCUAAAAAGCCAUUCCUGCUGUGGGACGGCUAGCAGUGGCCCAAUUGCAAGCCCGGAUGUAUUGACUAAACCCCACUCAACCCAGCUCGUGAGCCGGCUCACACCAUCUCCCGCCUCUCUGUGCUUGAACCCCAGACGCCCAGUGCUGCCGACGUUACGGAAGUGUGCAGAAGUGACCUCAGGGUGGAAGGAGAUGGGCCGACCGACAAAUGCAGCUAAAAUAGCUUCCUCCGCAAAUUUUGCCAAACGCACACAUGAGAACUUUGGGGAGGGCACCGUGAGGGCCUGUCGGGCCCUGGAAGCGGCUGGGCGGGGGCAGGGCUCUGGGGCUGAUGCGGUCCACGGUGCUCGGUGAGUCUGCCCUUGCUGGGGCCCUCCCUGCCAAGGGACAAAUGUCCAACAUCCAGCCCCACCGGGCACUGCCCUGGAGAAGCCUCUUUCCCGGGCCCCAGACCGACAGCCUGACUCAGCGGGGUUCGCCCCCCCCACCUGCCAGCCCCCGCCAGCCCCACCCUCCCCGGAGCUGCUGCCUCAGCCCGUGUCCCCCCUCCCCUGCCUCAGCCCGAGUCCUGCCCCACCCCUGCAGCCCGCAGGGCAGGGCCAGGGCCCUAAAUGCCCUUAGAUGAGGCCAACACAGAUGUAAAGUAGCUGCCAUUUGGAAGCGAGACUGGUUUUCAGGAUCAACGGCAUAUGUCAGCCUCGGAGGUUUACCCGACACUUGCCAUCCUUCCCGCUGCGGCCAGCCACAGCGACGUGCGGUGGGUGUGUAGCCAUCCUGAUCAGCUGGGGCCGCUGUGACUCAGACACUGAGGGGGCUGCAGGAGGGGUGCAGGUUCUCAGUUCUGGAGGCUGGGAUCUGGGGUCUGGGGUCUGGGCUUCCCCACAUUGGGUCCUGUGUCCUCACAGCAGAGAGAGAGAGACAGAGAGAGAGCGAGCACGACCACUCUGGGGCUUUCUUUUCUUAGAAGGAUUCUGAUCCCACCCUGGGGGCUGUGCCCACCGCUCCCAAAGGCCCCACCUCAUACACCGGCACACUGGGCUUAGGGCCACAGCAUGGGUUUGGGGCCACACAAUUCAGUGCACAGAACCAUUUCACAGAUUUGUCUUUUUUUUUUUAAAAUGUUU